This 403-nucleotide ribosomal RNA is filed under the name uncultured bacterium. RNAcentral's name for it is "bacterial SSU rRNA". It matches the Rfam family "Bacterial small subunit ribosomal RNA", at positions 355 to 775 of the family's 1533-position model. The record is from RNAcentral.
UAGGGAAUAUUGCUUAAUGGGCGAAAGCCUGAAGCAGCAACGCCGCGUGCACGAUGAAGGUCUUCGGAUCGUAAAGUGCUUUUUUAGAGGAUGAGGAAGGACAGUACUCUAAGAAUAAGCCUCGGCUAACUACGUGCCAGCAGCCGCGGUAAAACGUAGGAGGCGAGCGUUAUCCGGAUUUACUGGGCGUAAAGCGUGUGCAGGUGGUUUGGUAAGUUGGAUGUGAAAGCUCCUGGCUUAACUGGGAGAGGUCGUUCAAUACUGCCAGACUUGAGAGUGAGAGAGGGAGGUGGAAUUCCGGGUGUAGUGGUGAAAUGCGUAGAUAUCCAGAGGAACACCAGUGGCGAAAGCGGCCUCCUGGCUCAUUUCUGACACUCAUACACGAAGCUAGGGUAGCAAACGG